AACGAACGCUGGCGGCAUGCCUAACACAUGCAAGUCGAACGAGACCUUCGGGUCUAGUGGCGCACGGGUGCGUAACGCGUGGGAACCUGCCCUUAGGUUCGGAAUAACUCCCCGAAAGGGGUGCUAAUACCGGAUAAUGUCUUCGGACCAAAGAUUUAUCGCCUUUGGAUGGGCCCGCGUUGGAUUAGCUAGUUGGUAGGGUAAAAGCCUACCAAGGCGACGAUCCAUAGCUGGUCUGAGAGGAUGAUCAGCCACACUGGGACUGAGACACGGACCAGACUCCUACGGGAGGCAGCAGUGGGGAAUAUUGGACAAUGGGCGAAAGCCUGAUACAGCAAUGCCGCGUGAGUGAUGAAGGCCUUAGGGUUGUAAAGCUCUUUUAGCCGGGAUGAUAAUGACAGUACCGGGAGAAUAAGCUCCGGCUAACUCCGUG
Molecule: ribosomal RNA, 433 nt
Filed under: uncultured bacterium
Lineage: Bacteria
Description: partial 16S ribosomal RNA
Rfam family: Bacterial small subunit ribosomal RNA
Source: RNAcentral